RNAcentral lists this ribosomal RNA (1372 nucleotides) under uncultured bacterium. RNAcentral's name for it is "bacterial SSU rRNA". It matches the Rfam family "Bacterial small subunit ribosomal RNA", at positions 28 to 1381 of the family's 1533-position model. The record is from RNAcentral.
GAUGAACGCUGGCGGCGUGCCUAGUACAUGCAAGUCGAGCGAACGGACGAGAAGCUUGCUUCUCUGAUGUUAGCGGCGGACGGGUGAGUAACACGUGGAUAACCUACCUAUAAGACUGGGAUAACUUCGGGAAACCGGAGCUAAUACCGGAUAAUAUUUUGAACCGCAUGGUUCAAAAGUGAAAGACGGUCUUGCUGUCACUUAUAGAUGGAUCCGCGCUGCAUUAGCUAGUUGGUAAGGUAACGGCUUACCAAGGCAAUGAUGCAUAGCCGACCUGAGAGGGUGAUCGGCCACACUGGAACUGAGACACGGUCCAGACUCCUACGGGAGGCAGCAGUAGGGAAUCUUCCGCAAUGGGCGAAAGCCUGACGGAGCAACGCCGCGUGAGUGAUGAAGGUCUUCGGAUCGUAAAACUCUGUUAUUAGGGAAGAACAUAUGUGUAAGUAACUGUGCACAUCUUGACGGUACCUAAUCAGAAAGCCACGGCUAACUACGUGCCAGCAGCCGCGGUAAUACGUAGGUGGCAAGCGUUAUCCGGAAUUAUUGGGCGUAAAGCGCGCGUAGGCGGUUUUUUAAGUCUGAUGUGAAAGCCCACGGCUCAACCGUGGAGGGUCAUUGGAAACUGGAAAACUUGAGUGCAGAAGAGGAAAGUGGAAUUCCAUGUGUAGCGGUGAAAUGCGCAGAGAUAUGGAGGAACACCAGUGGCGAAGGCGACUUUCUGGUCUGUAACUGACGCUGAUGUGCGAAAGCGUGGGGAUCAGACAGGAUUAGAUACCCUGGUAGUCCACGCCGUAAACGAUGAGUGCUAAGUGUUAGGGGGUUUCCGCCCCUUAGUGCUGCAGCUAACGCAUUAAGCACUCCGCCUGGGGAGUACGACCGCAAGGUUGAAACUCAAAGGAAUUGACGGGGACCCGCACAAGCGGUGGAGCAUGUGGUUUAAUUCGAAGCAACGCGAAGAACCUUACCAAAUCUUGACAUCCUUUGACAACUCUAGAGAUAGAGCCUUCCCCUUCGGGGGACAAAGUGACAGGUGGUGCAUGGUUGUCGUCAGCUCGUGUCGUGAGAUGUUGGGUUAAGUCCCGCAACGAGCGCAACCCUUAAGCUUAGUUGCCAUCAUUAAGUUGGGCACUCUAAGUUGACUGCCGGUGACAAACCGGAGGAAGGUGGGGAUGACGUCAAAUCAUCAUGCCCCUUAUGAUUUGGGCUACACACGUGCUACAAUGGACAAUACAAAGGGCAGCGAAACCGCGAGGUCAAGCAAAUCCCAUAAAGUUGUUCUCAGUUCGGAUUGUAGUCUGCAACUCGACUACAUGAAGCUGGAAUCGCUAGUAAUCGUAGAUCAGCAUGCUACGGUGAAUACGUUCCCGGGUCU